GACGAACGCUGGCGGCGCGCCUAAAACAUGCAAGUCGAACGAGAAGCCCGGGCUUGCCCGGGUGGACAGUGGCGAACGGGUGAGUAACACGUGAGGAACCUGCCCCGAAGACCGGGACAACACCGGGAAACCGGUGCUAAUACCGGAUGCCUUCACCGGAUCGCAUGGUCUGGUGAAGAAAGGGAUUCCGCUUCGGGAUGGCCUCGCGGCCUAUCAGCUUGUUGGUGAGGUAAUGGCUCACCAAGGCGACGACGGGUAGCUGGUCUGAGAGGAUGUCCAGCCACACUGGGACUGAGACACGGCCCAGACUCCUACGGGAGGCAGCAGUUAGGAAUCUUGCGCAAUGGGCGAAAGCCUGACGCAGCGACGCCGCGUGCGGGAUGAAGGCCUUCGGGUUGUAAACCGCUUUCAGCAGGGACGAAAUUGACGGUACCUGCAGAAGAAGCCCCGGCCAACUACGUGCCAGCAGCCGCCGUAA
RNAcentral lists this ribosomal RNA (478 nucleotides) under uncultured bacterium. RNAcentral describes it as "partial 16S ribosomal RNA". It matches the Rfam family "Bacterial small subunit ribosomal RNA", at positions 28 to 523 of the family's 1533-position model. The record is from RNAcentral.